UACGGAAUGUGCAAACGUUAUUCGGAAUUACUGGGCUUAAAGAGUUCGUAGGCGGCAUGAAAAGUAGGGUGUGAAAGCCCUCGGCUCAACCGAGGAAUUGCGCUCUAAACUGUCGUGCUCGAGGAAUCUAGAGGUGAGCGGAACUGAUGGUGGAGCGGUGAAAUGCGUUGAUAUCAUCAGGAACACCGGAGGCGAAGGCGGCUCACUGGGGAUUUUCUGACGCUGAGGAACGAAAGCCAGGGGAGCGAACGGG
This 253-nucleotide ribosomal RNA is filed under the name uncultured bacterium. Its description in RNAcentral is "partial 16S ribosomal RNA". It matches the Rfam family "Bacterial small subunit ribosomal RNA", at positions 524 to 776 of the family's 1533-position model. The record is from RNAcentral.